CCUACGGGUGACAGCAGUGAGGAAUAUUGGUCAAUGGGCGCGAGCCUGAACCAGCCAAGUAGCGUGAAGGAUGACGGCCCUAUGGGUUGUAAACUUCGUUUAUAAAGGAAUAAAGUGAGGCACGUGUGCGAUUUUGUAUGUACCAUAUGAAUAAGGAUAGGCUAACUCCGUGCCAGCAGCCGCGGUAAGACGGAGGAUCCGAGCGUUAUCCGGAUUUAUUGGGUUUAAAGGGCGCGUAGGUGGGUUGUUAAGUCAGUUGUGAAAGUUUGCGGCUCAACCGGAAAAUUGCAUUUGAUACUGGUAGUCUUGAGUGCAGUUGAGGUAGGCGGAAUUCGUGGUGUAGCGGU
RNAcentral lists this ribosomal RNA (347 nucleotides) under uncultured bacterium. RNAcentral describes it as "partial 16S ribosomal RNA". It matches the Rfam family "Bacterial small subunit ribosomal RNA", at positions 338 to 682 of the family's 1533-position model. The record is from RNAcentral.